CAGUAGCCGCGGUAAUACAGAGGGUGCGAGCGUUAAUCGGAUUUACUGGGCGUAAAGCGUGCGUAGGCGGCUUCUUAAGUCGGAUGUGAAAUCCCUGAGCUUAACUUAGGAAUUGCAUUCGAUACUGGGAAGCUAGAGUAUGGGAGAGGAUGGUAGAAUUCCAGGUGUAGCGGUGAAAUGCGUAGAGAUCUGGAGGAAUACCGAUGGCGAAGGCAGCCAUCUGGCCUAAUACUGACGCUGAGGUACGAAAGCAUGGGGAGCAAACAGGAUUAGAUACCCGCGUAGUCCCUGUCUCUUAUAA
This 301-nucleotide ribosomal RNA is filed under the name uncultured bacterium. Its description in RNAcentral is "partial 16S ribosomal RNA". It matches the Rfam family "Bacterial small subunit ribosomal RNA", at positions 509 to 809 of the family's 1533-position model. The record is from RNAcentral.